CAGUCGCCGCGGUAAAACGUAGGGUGCAAGCGUUAAUCGGAAUUACUGGGCGUAAAGCGUGCGCAGGCGGUAAUGUAAGACAGAUGUGAAAUCCCCGGGCUCAACCUGGGAACUGCAUUCGUGACUGCAUUGCUGGAGUGCGGCAGAGGGGGAUGGAAUUCCGCGUGUAGCAGUGAAAUGCGUAGAUAUGCGGAGGAACACCGAUGGCGAAGGCAAUCCCCUGGGCCUGCACUGACGCUCAUGCACGAAAGCGUGGGGAGCAAACAGGAUUAGAGACCCGUGUAGUCCCUGUCUCUUAUAC
RNAcentral lists this ribosomal RNA (301 nucleotides) under uncultured bacterium. RNAcentral's name for it is "partial 16S ribosomal RNA". It matches the Rfam family "Bacterial small subunit ribosomal RNA", at positions 509 to 807 of the family's 1533-position model. The record is from RNAcentral.